AUACGUAGGGGGCGAGCGUUGUCCGGAAUGAUUGGGCGUAAAGGGCGCGUAGGCGGCCCGGUAAGUCUGGAGUGAAAGUCCUGUUUUUAAGAUGGGAAUUGCUUUGGAUACUGUCGGGCUUGAGUGCAGGAGAGGUAAGUGGAAUUCCCAGUGUAGCGGUGAAAUGCGUAGAGAUUGGGAGGAACACCAGUGGCGAAGGCGACUUACUGGACUGUAACUGACGCUGAGGCGCGAAAGUGUGGGGAGCAAACAGGAUUAGAUGCCCUGGUAGUCUACACUGUAAACGACGAAUGCUAGGUGUAGGGGGUAUCGACCCCUUCUGUGCCGCAGUCAACACAAUAAGCAUUCCGCCUGGGGAGUACGGCCGCAAGGUUGAAACUCAAAUGAAUUGACGGGG
Molecule: ribosomal RNA, 397 nt
Filed under: uncultured bacterium
Lineage: Bacteria
Description: partial 16S ribosomal RNA
Rfam family: Bacterial small subunit ribosomal RNA
Source: RNAcentral